Long non-coding RNA from Diospyros lotus (date-plum), 3099 nucleotides. RefSeq lists it as uncharacterized. The transcript has 4 exons. Lineage: Eukaryota; Viridiplantae; Streptophyta; Magnoliopsida; Ericales; Ebenaceae. The record is from RefSeq and is a predicted model, not a curated record.
GUAAAUCAAAGUUUAGAAACCUACUUGAGGUGUGUUUGCCUCUUACAACCCAAGGAGUGGCAUCGGUGGUUGUUCCUAGCCCAAUGGUGGUAUAACACCAACUAUCAUUUUUCAAUCAAAAUGUCGCCGUUUGAAGCUCUAUUCGGGUACCAACCACCAACUUUACCUGCUGUAGAGGGGGGAUCCAAUGUAGCUACGGUAGAAGAAUACCUUUAGCAGCAACGAAGGUAGAUCACCCAACAACUUAAGCAGGAGUUGGCCUCAACUAGGAACAGGAUGAAGCAAGUAGCUGAUCGCAAGAGAAGUGUAAGGGAGUUUGCGGUGGGAGAUAAUGUGUAUUUGAGGUUGCGGUACCCCAUCUCAAGUCCAUCACUAAGGGGAAGGUGACUAAGCUUAGCCCCAAAUUUUCGGUCCUUUUGCCAUAGAAGCCAAGGUAGGACAAGUGGCAUACCGCUUGAAAUUACUGUAAGGGACCCAAACCCAUCAGUCUUUUUGUCUCUCUCCUCAAGAAAUCCGUGGGGAGCUAACUAGUGAGCAGGGCCCUCCCUACAUUCCCUAAAGAAGCUACCGGGGUGGUGGAACCAGAGGCUAUAAUCGAGAGGAGGGUGGUGUACAAACAAGGGGCUCUGCUCAUUCAGGUGCUGGUUAAGUGGCGAGGCAGCACCUCAGAUUGCAGCACCUGAGAAUAUUUACCCGAUCUCCUAAGGCAAUUUCCCCGAACGGCCAAUCUCCUUAGCAUUUCUUGAGGACAAGAAAUCGGUUGAAGGGGAGGGAAGUUGUCACGACCGUGCCUUAACAGCAGCAUUUUUUAUUUUUCCUUGCAGCGUAAUUCCUCUGUUUUACUUUCUACUUUUGGGGUUUUAUUGUAAUUUCUAGUACCAAGUUUGUUAGCUAAAGAUUCUCCAUGUGGGUGAGGCUGGAAUAGGACAAAACUUAUGGUUACAGCUGUUGGGGGGAGAGGAUCCCCAGCGGAUGCGGCUUUCCCGCUAUAUCAACAUUGAGGCUGCCAUGAGAAGGCAUCGAUUAUGAAAAUUCCAUUCUGAAUCCCAUCUAUCUUUUAGCUCUUAUCCCUCUCUCAGACUCUUUCUUUCUAUUCUCUAUCUCUCUCUCUUCUCGUUCUCUUCGGUAACAUCUCCUCAUUAUCACUCGCGUUCUCCUAUUGUCACCUACGACCGUGAUAGAAGUUAACACCAGAUAUAUAGAGGAUAGUGUUCAUGCAUGUUAUACAUGCCAUUCAUGAAUGUAAAAGCUUUUCUAACCCUUAUUAAGUAGCAAUACUGAGCACAUCUUCGAGAUGCCAGAUAACAUGACUUUCGAGGGAAAGGGAAGGUUGGAAUUUGGAAGACUAGGGAUUGAUGGUUAAUUUGUUUUCUUCUGGCAAUUUGGUAGUCUGUAAAAAUAAUGUUUAAAUGAAGCAAAUGGAUGAAAGUUGUGUUUAGGUUGAACAAAAAUGUUUAUGCAAGUGUUAGUGUGUUACACUCAACAUUGGAAUAGAUAUUUAAGGGUUAAAAAUGAAAUAAAAAGCAAAACCAAGUGGUAUUAAACUGCAGUGUAGAAAACAGGAGGAAAAGUAAUUUUUUUUUUUUUCCUGUGGAAAUGGGUAAGACCCAAUUUUGGCGUUGUUUUCUAGUAUUGAGUCAUAUGUCUCAAAAUAAAGAAAGAACUAAUUAGGCUUAAUCCUUGUGCUUUCAAAAAGUGCAAAAUGAUUUAUCAUUAUUCAUAUUAAAUUUAAAUUGCAGCAGCAAGUGCAUGUCAUCAGAUAAUCUCAUUUUCGUGCUGCUUGUAUUUUAGAAGUAAAUUAAGUGUUAUAAUAGUGUCGUAGACUGCAUUCAUAUAUAUAUAUAUAUCUAUACAAUUCAUCUCCUAAUGUAAAAAUAUUUUACCAGUUAUCUUUGAUUCUCUGAAGGGUAAAGUAGAAGUCUUCAUUCUGAGGAUGAAUUAAUAGUAAUUGACACCUGUCCAGCAUACAUAGGGACGGAAAGAAGUUGUGGUAAUUUUAGGGACAUGCUGCCAGUGUUUGUAUUUUUGUGUAACCUGGAUGACUAGGGCUAUAGUGACCAAAUUACGUGUGAUUGGUUGUUAUGAAUAUAUUUCUUAUCUGAGAAAAAGAAAAAGAGGUACUAUAAAUUCAGUGCUUUUACAUGCUAUUUUACAGCUAAUUCACCCACAAGGACUUGGAAGAUUACAUCUAUAUUUGGGAGCCGAGCGUCUGAAGCGGCUUCAGUUGAUAAAUCUCUCAAUGAAACUGUUAAAGAUACUGAAUGUGCGCCUUCUGGUAAAGAUACUGAAUGUAUGGCUUCUGUGAUCCAACUUAGAGAGCCGCCUUCUGUCUUAAGGCCACCAGAAUCACAGACAGAUAAUGAAGCAGUGGAAGUAAUUGUAACCAAAUUACUUUUAUGUUCUUACUUUGACAUUGUCAGAAAGAACAUUGAAGAUUUUGUUCCAAAAGUUAUAAUGCAUUCCUGGUAUGCUUUGAAUUUUGCUUUGUCCUCAUUCUUGUGGAAAUCUAUAUUUUGGGGUAUGCAAUAUUCCAAUCAGACUUGAAGUUGAUUGGAUUUUUCUUUCCUCUGGAUCUGGUUAUCUCAUGAUCUGUUGCGUUGCAUGUGCUGCAGGUCAACUAUACGAAAAGGGAUCUCCUUGGGAACUUUAUAAAAAAAUUAUACGGAGAGAGUCUUUUUGAAGAGCUGUUGCAGGAGCAAGAUGAGGUUGCCAUUAAAAGAAAACGGAGAAGAGAACUGUUUCAUGUUCUGCAAGAAGCUGUUCAGACACUUGAUGAGGUUGAAGCUGACGUGUCUUCUUCGCAAGGUGGUUCAAGCUUUAGGUAAAGAUAGUCUGACUGGAUUGCCAAAUGGUGAGAAGAGACCCAUGAACUCUGCAGCUCGCUGGUUAUUCUAGGCCCAGGAGCACUUGUUGCCAUGGUGAUCUAGACGGGGAAUUUAACGAAUGCUAAGGGGGGAAUUCAUCAUAUAGAUUUAUGCCGUAUGUUGUAUAUUAUGUUGCUUUGAGCCCCAUAACCAAUUUUUAACCUAAUUUGGGAGGAUCUACCACUAUUCUAUAAUAUAAUAGUAAUAAUAAUAGUUUGUUUGUGCUUUCCUUGUA